RNAcentral lists this ribosomal RNA (772 nucleotides) under uncultured bacterium. Its description in RNAcentral is "bacterial SSU rRNA". It matches the Rfam family "Bacterial small subunit ribosomal RNA", at positions 8 to 796 of the family's 1533-position model. The record is from RNAcentral.
AGAGUUUGAUCCUGGCUCAGGACGAACGCUGGCGGCGCGCCUAAUACAUGCAAGUCGAGCGAGAACCAGGACUUCGGUCCUGGGGAGAGCGGCGAACGGGUGCGUAUCACGUGAGCAACCUGCCUCGGAGACCGGAAUAACUCGAGGAAACUCGGGCUAAUGCCGGAUGCCCUCGGUGGACCGCAUGGUCCGGCGAGGAAAUGGAUUCCGCUCCGAGAUGGGCUCGCGGCCUAUCAGCUUGUUGGUGGGGUAACGGCCUACCAAGGCAACGACGGGUAGCUGGUCUGAGAGGACGAUCAGCCACACUGGGACUGAGACACGGCCCAGACUCCUACGGGAGGCAGCAGUAGGGAAUCUUGCGCAAUGGGGGAAACCCUGACGCAGCGACGCCGCGUGCGGGAUGAAGGCCUUCGGGUCGUAAACCGCUUUCAGCAGGGACGAAAUUGACGGUACCUGCAGAAGAAGGCCCGGCCAACUACGUGCCAGCAGCCGCGGUGAUACGUAGGGGUCUAGCGUUGUCCGGAAUUAUUGGGCGUAAAGAGCUCGUAGGCGGUUCGGCAAGUCGGAUGUGAAAUCUCCACGCUUAACGUGGAGGGGCCAUUCGAAACUGCCGUGACUCGAGUCCGGUAGGGGAGUUCGGAAUUCCCGGUGUAGCGGUGAAAUGCGCAGAUAUCGGGAGGAACACCAGUGGCGAAGGCGGAACUCUGGGCCGGAACUGACGCUGAGGAGCGAAAGCGUGGGGAGCGAACAGGAUUAGAUACCCUAGUAGUCC